Molecule: long non-coding RNA, 1494 nt
Organism: Hyalella azteca
Lineage: Eukaryota; Metazoa; Arthropoda; Malacostraca; Amphipoda; Hyalellidae
Exons: 3
Source: RefSeq, a predicted model, not a curated record
GUUAUUGCAGGAAGCUUCGAUUGCAAAAGUUCACUAACAGGAUUCUUGAUAAGCAUUGAAGCUCGAAAAAAAAGAUCAGCACUACAAAAUAAAUUUCCAUAAGAGCCACCAUUUAUUUUCUUUUGUGGUGAAUUCCCGGAAAAAAUUCCAGGCAUUUUUUUCUAUGAGCUCUUUCAUUGAUUAGUCUUUUCAACGCCUGGAAUGAUCGAUAACAUAAAUCAUCUUCGUUGAAAUGCCAUUCGCGCGUUGCCAGCACUCGCCUCGCACGAACAACUGACGCCUAGACUUUCCAGGUUAAGUGCAACAGUGGCUACAAACAUCGUGUGCUUUCUUAAAAGGUGGUGAUUGAUGACACACAUUUGAUCGCAUGCUAGAAUUACUUUAAUUAUCAAAAACUUUGAGCCGAGCAGUAAGAAUAUCCCUUGAGCUUUUUGAGAGCUUUUGUGACGUUUAAUUGACCUAUAUGUCUCUAAUGCAUCGAGUGCGAAGCUAUAAAAGAGUCUUGUGGCGAGCUCAUAAUAAUACUCACUGAAACAUAAUUUUAUGGACAAAAAAUGUUAGCGUAAUCUCAUCAAAAGUUUCCUGGACUGUCAUAACAAAUAUUUUCCCUAGAACGUUAUAUUGACCUAAAGUGUUCACGUUAACUUGUAUAAAACUGGAACAAACCUCUGAUUGAGUAAAAGAAUCAACAGAUUUGGUUCACAUCUUCUUUAUCUCAGAAGUGAAGUAAAUUUUUCACCCGUAAACAUGGACGAAGAACGACAAUUUGACGACGACAUCAUCCCGUAUACGGUCGUGACGACGCCAGGCGAACGUAUCAUGGGUCAGAUCUUGCUGAUGAGGGCACAGCUCGCACAGCUUCAGCAGGAGGUCAAGAUCAACAGGGUGCUCGCUUCGGACGCCUGCAGCGAGCUGAUCGCACAUUGCCAGAAGCACGAGUGCGAUGAUGCGUUGCUGAACGGGUUGUCCCAGUCCGAGAAUCCCUACAAGGAGAACAAGAGCUGCAAGAUAUUGUGAUCGCGGGUCCAGCGGCCGUAGAUCAUCAGACGCCUCAUCGAUCACCGGCCAGCAGACGCUUAAUAUGUCACGUUCUUCUACACAUAUCCACUUGCGCUACUUCUUACACUGCAGUAUUCUUCUUCAUGUUGUGCCUAAAUAAUUUAAAUAAAUUUUAGCAUCAUUCCGCGUUCGAAUUUAUUGAAAACGUAAUUUUUUAUAACGGCCUUUUAUAACGAAAUCAGAAAAGUUUUAGUCUUUCUUUGUUUGGUCUUCAUUGGAUGAAAAGUUCGUGUGCAAUCAUAUCGCAGUCAUUUAAAAUUAAUGAAGUUCUAACGUAUGCGAUAUAGAUCUUCUAUAAUGGCUCUCAGUAAUAUGCUAGAUCAUUUUGGCAAAUCAACUUGUCCGUAAAACUCGUUCAACAAUACAAGGAAAAGCUUCCUCAUUCGUGAUUUUUCUGACGUAAGGUUUAUUCCUAAAUAAAGUGCUUAAUUUUCA